RNAcentral lists this ribosomal RNA (522 nucleotides) under uncultured bacterium. RNAcentral's name for it is "bacterial SSU rRNA". It matches the Rfam family "Bacterial small subunit ribosomal RNA", at positions 777 to 1297 of the family's 1533-position model. The record is from RNAcentral.
AAUAGAUACCCUGGUAGUCCACGCCGUAAACGAUGAGUGCUAAGUGUUAGAGGGUUUCCGCCCUUUAGUGCUGCAGCUAACGCAUUAAGCACUCCGCCUGGGGAGUACGGUCGCAAGACUGAAACUCAAAGGAAUUGACGGGGGCCCGCACAAGCGGUGGAGCAUGUGGUUUAAUUCGAAGCAACGCGAAGAACCUUACCAGGUCUUGACAUCCUCUGACAACUCUAGAGAUAGAGCGUUCCCCUUCGGGGGACAGAGUGACAGGUGGUGCAUGGUUGUCGUCAGCUCGUGUCGUAAGAUGUUGGGUUAAGUCCCGCAACGAGCGCAACCCUUGAUCUUAGUUGCCAGCAUUUAGUUGGGCACUCUAAGGUGACUGCCGGUGACAAACCGGAGGAAGGUGGGGAUGACGUCAAAUCAUCAUGCCCCUUAUGACCUGGGCUACACACGUGCUACAAUGGAUGGUACAAAGGGCUGCAAGACCGCGAGGUCAAGCCAAUCCCAUAAAACCAUUCUCAGUUCGGA